RNAcentral lists this ribosomal RNA (274 nucleotides) under uncultured bacterium. RNAcentral describes it as "partial 16S ribosomal RNA". It matches the Rfam family "Bacterial small subunit ribosomal RNA", at positions 523 to 796 of the family's 1533-position model. The record is from RNAcentral.
AUACGGAGGGAGCGAGCGUUAAUCGGAAUUACUGGGCGUAAAGCGCGCGUAGGCGGUUUGGUCAGUCGGAUGUGAAAGCCCUGGGCUCAACCUGGGAAUUGCAUUCGAUACUGCCUGACUAGAGUAUGGUAGAGGGAAGUGGAAUUUCCGGUGUAGCGGUGAAAUGCGUAGAUAUCGGAAGGAACACCAGUGGCGAAGGCGACUUCCUGGGCCAAUACUGACGCUGAGGUGCGAAAGCGUGGGGAGCAAACAGGAUUAGAUACCCCGGUAGUCC